AACGCACCUUGCGCCCUUUGGUAUUCCGAAGGGCAUGCCUGUUUGAGUGUCAUGAAAACCUCAAUCCCUCUGGUUUUUACGAACCGGUUGGACUUGGAUCUGGGCUCUGCCGCGACCCUAUGGGACGUCGGCUCGCCUUAAAGACGUUAGUGAGAAGGGUGGCUCCCGUCAGCCUGGCGUAAUAAGUUUCGCUGGGCCCCUGGGGAUGCCUUCCGGCUCGCUCACAACGACCAACUUUCUUAUGACUCUGACCUCAAAUCAGGUAGGACUACCCGCUGAACUUAA
Molecule: unclassified non-coding RNA, 285 nt
Filed under: uncultured fungus
Lineage: Eukaryota; Fungi
Description: partial contains 5.8S ribosomal RNA, internal transcribed spacer 2, and large subunit ribosomal RNA
Rfam family: 5.8S ribosomal RNA (bases 1-52)
Source: RNAcentral